Dinoponera quadriceps is the source of this 3403-nucleotide RNA transcript. It is a transcript of the gene named allatostatin-A receptor-like, with no coding region annotated. NCBI's taxonomy places the organism in Eukaryota, Metazoa, Arthropoda, Insecta, Hymenoptera, Formicidae. The transcript is spliced from 6 exons. The record is from RefSeq and is a predicted model, not a curated record.
GGCGUACGAUGACACGCGAGAACUUCGCGGACCCGACUCGGUUGAUCCGUCGUUGAACAUCCCGCGGUGGACUCGCUCGGAAGUGGGAUUUUCAGCGGCGACUUCCACGGAUCCUCGCGAAGAUCGCACGGCGAGCCUCUCGACGUGAUACGACGGGGAGGGAAGGCUUUUUUCCACUUUUCCCUCGCCGCGAUCGCACUUUAGCGCGUCGCGCGCGCUAUGUGCGCGAUGAUAAAGCAACGUUCCGGCAGCCGGCGACGCAGAACGAAGGAUCGUCUUCUCGGGAACUGUGCGCGCCGCAGACCCGUCCGGGGAAACGGAUCGUCGUAUCGAUGAAGGAGCCGGUCGAGUGAUCGACGGCGAACUUCAGUUCGCCGAGUUCGAGCGUUUGGCGGUAAGCGCGUUCGAACGCGCGCGGAAUGCGAAACUCCGAGUUACUCGUUGCUAGCGCGAUAAUUGCAAUUUCACGGUAAUUUCACGCCCGACCGGAGCGGUGCGGUGUUCCCCAAUUUUCCCCAAUUGCGGAGUUCCUUGGAGUUCGGUGUGAUAUCACGGAGUAUUCGAACAUUCCGCGCCCACACACACACACACACACAUACACACAGACAUACACAGACGUGUCACAUGAAAGCGGAAAAACGCAGAUCGACGAUAAGGGAUGACUGAUGAUAACGCGCGGCUGUAAAUCAAUCCGCAAUAGCGCGACGUUUGAAUAAAAUUUACAACGCCCCGAAUUCGAACACCGCGGAGAAAUUGGACUCGCAAGAAAUGUCAUCGUUCGGCUUACUGUGAUUGUUCUAACGAGCAAGUUACCGCCGCGUCGAAGGCAGAAGGGACGAUUACGGCGGUGAGCAGCACGAACUGCAGUUCGCCGGGUUGAAGUGUUCGGCGGCAAACACAGUUCGACGGUGAUGAGACGAGAGUCCCGCAGCCAAGGUUGUAACGUUUAAAAGUCAAUUGUUGUAUUUGCGAUCAGCCGCUCUUAGCAUACGAGAUGUUCCUCAGUGUAAUUUAGAAACCGUUGGAAACCGAUGAAGCAGCCUCUCCAAGUUCACGCUUUUACGAGAGCGGGAUGAUAGAACGAAUGUAACGAGAUAUCAGUUUCGUGUAGCGAUUUGAAAAACUGAACUCUGGAAACUUAACUGAAAGUAAAAAGUAUAUUACAUUAACGUCCCUCCGUGUAAAGAGAGAGAGAGAGAGAGAGAGAGAGUGUGUGGCGAUUUCCACGUUAUAACGGAACUUUAGAUUCCUGAAGUUUCUCGGACUUCCAGCGGGAAAAGAUCCCGUGGGAGAUGGCAGCGUGAAAGAAGAUGCGUCGGAGGAACGUCGAUCGCGGAUGUACGACGCCGUACGGUGGCGGGGAUGCACGUUAUAAGGAGGGAACGACGUCUGGGGCUUUCUCUCGACGCAGGAAGGAACCGGAGGACCUUCACGAGGGUAUCCCGUUGAGGCAGUUCGCGUCAAUUUCACCGUUAUUGUAACGUAUUGUUACGCACAGUUCCUAUCCUUCCCGAUCAGACUUCCCGGUCCAAUAAAUUCGCGGCGACGCGACCCGGGGGAUUCGCACGUCGAUCCGCAAAGCGAAGCCGAUCGAUCCCCGGCGAAGAUGGAGUCUCCAUUCGUGAGCCUCGCGAAUGCGAGCGACGACCUCGUCAACUGCAGCUCGCAAUUCGGUUCUCCCGUGAACGGCACCUGCGAGAGAAUUGAAUUCGGCUUCGACCGCGAGCUGGUAGAAAGUAUCGUGGUGGUGGUGGUGCCAUUGUUCUUCGGCAUGAUCGGCAUCCUCGGCCUGGUCGGGAAUUCCCUGGUCGUCGUCGUCGUAGCGGCGAAUCCCGGAAUGAGGUCGACCACGAACAUCCUCAUCAUCAAUCUCGCUAUGGCGGAUCUGCUUUUCGUCAUAUUUUGUAUCCCCUUCACGGCCACCGACUUCGUGCUGCCGUAUUGGCCGUUCGGCAACGUCUGGUGCAAGAUCGUUCAGUAUCUGAUCAUCGUCACUGCCUACGCGAGCGUUUACACCCUGGUCCUCAUGAGCCUCGACAGGUACUUGGCGGUGGUCCAUCCGAUCGCCUCGAUGUCCUGGAGAACGGAGAACCACGCGAUCCUCGCGAUCUGCGUCACCUGGGCGGUGAUCCUAGCGAUAUCCACUCCGGCGCUGGUGAUACACGGCGAGAUUCGCUACGUGUUCCAGGAGAUGGGCGGCCCGUCGUCGGAAAAUCUGACGGCUUGUCGGAUCCUAGAGCAGUACGACUGGUCCUUCUUCCAGGUGUCCUUCUUCCUGACGAGCUACGUGCUGCCGCUGAAGCUGAUAUGUAUUUUUUACGUGUGCAUGCUGAUCAAAUUGUGGCGUGGCGCGCGCAUUAGCGCCGAAAGCCGACGCGGAAGGAGGCGAGUCACCAGGCUCGUCCUCGUCGUCGUCGGUGUCUUUGCCGUUUGUUGGUGUCCUAUACAGGUGAUACUGGUGACCAAAUCUGUCGAUAUGUUCCCGCUCACGACGGCGACGAUAAUGCUGCAAAUAGCUAGUCACAUCCUCGCCUACACCAACAGCUGUGUCAACCCCUUCCUCUACGCCUUCCUGAGCGACAAUUUUCGUAAAGCCUUCCGGAAAAUCAUCUAUUGUAGGCCGCGACCGGAGCCGAACAACCGGCUGGGACCAGCUACGAAGACUACGAGAGCCGCCAGUAGCGGCGAUAUUCUUUAGUUUACCCCGGCUGCCAUUUUCGUCUGUCCCUUCCGCGCACGGAUAUCGUUAGAAAAAGGGAGAGAAGGAAAACAGACGCAGACGGGAGGAGAUAGAGAGGAGAAGGAUGGAAGAAGAAAUAUAUACAAGGUAAUAAAUUCACCGGGGCCACGCAUGAGGCGCGGACUGGCCGACGUGCGAGCGAAUCCCUGUUUGUAACGGCGAAUGUCUGCGGAUCCGUAGGAUAUUCGAUGUUUGAUGUCGCGUAGGCGAACACACGCGGGCGCGUGUCUCCGAUUCUUCAACUUGCGCCGGACAGAUGUAUACAUUACGAACUUUUAUAUUUUCUCUCGAUUUCCUUCUCGGACGGAGAGUCGAAGGGAAUGCCCGUGCUUGCGAAUUCGGAUUCGUGGGUAUUCCCCGCACGCGGGAGGACGUGCGAGUCGGGUCGAGCGAUCGAAAGCGAGAAGGAGCUUAAUCCGUACCCCCGAUCGUUGUAAUCGUCAUUACUGAUCCUCCUUUACGAGUGUACUUCGCAGGUUCGAUUCGGAUUCGCGGACCACGGCAGCCGAGCCCCUGCCUUGUUUCGCGAACACGACACUUGUACGAUGUCCGUAAAUGUGAAGGGCGCGCGAGCUCAUUUCCCGACUGCUGUUAAUUCAAAUGGUUUUACCGGGGGGAGAGAUCGUCGGAAAAUUGCAUCCCCGAGAAGUUAUAAAGUGUACC